AGAACGAACGCUGGCGGCGUGGAUAAGACAUGCAAGUCGAACGGGACUCUGGAUGUAGCAAUACAAACAGGGUCCAGUGGCGCAAGGGUGCGUAACACGUGGGCAACCUGCCGGGAAAUGGGGGAUAGCUCGCCGAAAGGCGAAUUAAUACCGCAUGUGAUCAUCUCUCGCAUGAGAGAGACAUUAAAGCUGGGGAUCGUAAGACCUGGCGUUUCCCGAUGGGCCCGCGGCCUAUCAGCUUGUUGGCGGGUAACGCCCACAAGGCUCUGACGGUAGCUGGUCUGAGAGGACGACCAGCCACACUGGAACUGAGACACGGUCCAGACACCUACGGGUGCAGCAGUCGAGAAUCUUCACAAUGGGAAACCUGAUGGAGCGACGCCGCGUGGAGGAUGAAGUCUUCGGAUUGUAAACUCCUGUCAUGAGAGAACAAAGACUCACGGCUAAUACCUGUGAGACUGAUAGUAUUCAAGA
RNAcentral lists this ribosomal RNA (474 nucleotides) under uncultured soil bacterium. Its description in RNAcentral is "bacterial SSU rRNA". It matches the Rfam family "Bacterial small subunit ribosomal RNA", at positions 26 to 485 of the family's 1533-position model. The record is from RNAcentral.